This 6935-nucleotide long non-coding RNA is filed under the name Sus scrofa (pig). RNAcentral describes it as "lncRNA (ENSSSCG00055011372.1)". The record is from RNAcentral. Lineage: Eukaryota; Metazoa; Chordata; Mammalia; Artiodactyla; Suidae.
CUAUGAAAAUUCCAGUGAUAUUUUUUGCAGAAAGAGUUAAAAAAAAAUCCUAAAAUUCGUAUAGAAUCUCAAGGGACCUCAAAUAGCCAAAAAGAACUUGAAAAAGAACAAAACUGGAGGAUUUACACCCCUGAUUUCAUGACUUACUAUAAAGCUAUAUAAAAAGGGUGUGGCAUUGGCGUAAACACAGAUAUAAAGACCAAUGGAAUAGAAAAGAGAGCCUGAAGAUAAAACCUCACAUAUAUGGUCAAAUGAUUUUUGACAAGGGUACCAAGACCAUUCAAUAGGAAGGGACAGUCUUUUCAACAGUUAAUGCUGGGGGAGUUCCUGAAAUGGCUCAGUGGUUAACGAGUCUGACUAGGAACCAUGAGGUUGUGGGUUUGAUCCCUGGCCUUGCUCAGUGGGUUAAGGAUCCGGCGUUGCCGCGAGCUGUGGUGUAGGUUACAGACGCGGCUCGGAUCCAGCGUUCCUGUGGCUCUAGCGUAGACCAGCAGCUGUAGCUCCGAUUGGACCCCUAGCCUGGGAACUUCCAUGUGCCGCAGAAGCGGCCCUAGAAAUGGCAANAAAAAAAAAAAAAAAAAAAAAAAAAAAAAAAGCAGUUAAUGCUGGGAAAACUCGGUCUUUACGUGCAAAAGAAUGAAGGUGGACUUUUACCGAACUCCAUAUACAAAAAUUAACUCAAAUUGGAUCAAGAACCUAAAAUAUAAGGCCUCAAACAAUAACUUUUAGAAAACAUAAGACAAAACUUUAAGAUGUUGGAUUUGGCAGUGAUUUCUUAGAUAUGACACCAAAGGCACAGGUAAGAAGAGAAAUAGACAAAUUGGACUUCAUGACAAUUUUUUUAAUGAGUGCAUCAAAUACACUACAGAGUAAAUAACAACCCAUAGAAUGAGAGGAAAUAUUUGCCAAUCAUGUAUCUGAUAUAGGAUUAAUAUCCAGAAUAUAUAGAGAACUCCUAAAAGACAACACAAAAACAAACAAAAAAUUCAAAAGUUGACAAAGGAUUUAAAUAGACAUUUCUGAAAAAAGGAUUAUACAAAUGGCCAAUAAUCACAUGAUAAGAUAUUCAACAUCAGUAAUUAUUAGGAAAAUGUAAAUUCCCAAACCAGAAAACAACCAGUGCAGGUGAAGAUUUGGAGAAAUCGGGACACCUGUGCACUCUUGGUGGGAGGGUAGAAUGAUGAAACUGCUGUGGGAAGCAGCAUGGCAGCACAUGCAAAACUAAAAAUAGAGUUACCAUAUGUUCCACCAGUUCCACUUCUGCUAUAUAUCCAAAAGAACUGGAAGCAAGGUCUUGAAGAGAUAUUUGUCCACCAUGUUCAUAGCACCAUUAUUCACAGUAGCUAAAAUGUUGAAGCAACACAAGUGUCCAUCAACUGAUGAAUAGAUAAGCAAAUUCUACAUACAUGCAAUGGAAUAUUACUCAGCCUUUAAAAGGAAGAAAAUUUUGCAUUAUACUACAACAUGGGUGAACCUUGAGGACAUUAUGCUGAGUGAAAUAAGUCAGUUACAAAAGUAUAAAUACAGUGUGACUCCACUUAUAUGGGGUACUUAGAACAGUCAAAAUUAUAAAGACAGAAAGUACAGUGGUGGUUGCCAUGGGGUAGGGGAGGAGAGUCUGAGGAGCUGGUGUUUAAUGGGUAUUGAGUUUCAGUUUCAUGAGAUGGAAAAAUUUAUGGAGAUGGAAGGUGGUGAUGGUGCACAACACUGAGUGCAUUUAAUAUCUCUGACACGGACAUGUAGAAUCGUUAAGAUGGGAGUUCCCACUGUGGCUCAGGGGCGAUGAACCCGACUAGCAUCCAUGAGGAUGCAGGUUUGACCUCUGGCCCUGCUCAGGGCGUUAAGGAUCCAGCAUUGCCACAGCUCUGGUAUGGGUCAAAGGUGCAGCUGGGAUCUGGUGUUGCUGUGGCUGUGGCGUAGGCUGGCAACUGUAACCCCAUUUGACCCCUAGGAACUGUCAUAUGCUGUGGGUGUAGCCCUAUAAUGAAAAAAAAAAAGGUUAAAAUGGUAAUUGCUAUGCUGUGUGUAUUUUACAUUACAAAAGUGGAAAAAAGUAAAAACUUUGGUACAAUCAUGCUAUGGAAUAUUACUCAGCAAUAGAAAGACAUGAACCGUUUACACCCAACUUGCAUAACUCUGCAGUGAAUUAUGCUGAAAAAAAUCCCAUCCCAAAAGUUUACAUUCUGUAUAGUUUCACCUGUAUGGCAUUCUCAAAAUGACAAAAUAGUGGAAAAGGAGAACAGAUUAGUGGUGCCAGGGCUUAGGGAAGAAAAAGAGAGAAGUGAGUCUAACCAUAAAAGGACGGAUGAGGCAUUCUUGUGGUUGUGGAAUGUUCUGUGUCUUCGCUGUGAAUUGCUGGUUGUGACAUUUUACUAGAGUUUUGCAAAUAUCACCAUUGGGGAAAACCGGGUGAAGAGCACACUGGAUAUCUCUGAAUUUUUCUUCUAUUUGCAUGUGAAUCUUUUUAUCUUAAAAUAUGUUUAAUAAUUAAAAAACAAAAAUACUAAUAUAAAUAAGUGAAUAAAUAAGGUGUAUCAGUUACUCCAGUACUUUAGCUUCUGAGUACAUUGCAGAGCAUCAUAAAUAUUUAUUGGGAACUUACCAUGUGCAGAACACUGUUUUAGCCCAAGAUACAGCAACAAACAAUGACAAUUUAAAAGAACAAUAAGCACAAGCCGUACUCCAAUUGAUGCAUCUCUUUUCAAGUUUAUUUAACAUUAGUUUUAGCCUUAAUGAUCAAAGUGUUUGCUGGAUUUGUUUUCUGAUAGGAAUGUUAUGACUGGAUUUUAAAAUUAAGUGAGUUAUAAACACAUUCAUUUGCGAAUAACUGCAAUGACUCAAAAGCAUAUUACUUAAUUAUCUUUGGGUCAGAUUAGUAGACAGACAGACGCUUCACCCAGGUAAAGGUGCUCAUUUACCUUUCCUGUGACAGACUCUGGCUAUAACAUUUAUUCACGUAAUAGGUAUAAACAUUUGUUUGGUUAAAAUAGCACUGGACUGGACUUCCAGUCCUAGCUCAGUGGUAUGAACUCGACUAGUAUCCAUGGGGAUGCAGGUUCAGUCCCUGGCCUUGCUCAGUGGGUUAAGGAUCCAGCCUUGCUGUGAGCUGUGGUGUAGGUCACAGUUGCGACUCAGAUCCCGCAUUGCUGUGGCUAUGGCGUAGGCCGGCAGCCACAGCUUGAACUCAGCCCCCUAGCCUGGGAACCUCCAUAUGCCAUGGGUGCAGCCCUAAAAAGACAAAAAAAAAAAAAAAAAAGGCACUGGAUGAUUUUAAUGAAUUUCUUAAUAGAAGGUAAGGGAUAUUUUAAAAUUUAUUUAUUAUUCAAAUAAAUUUGGCAAUACGCCAUCCUCUCUCAACUUGUGAGCCAAUAAGAACAUGGAGAAUCUAUCCUUGAAUUUAUCAGUCAUUUAAAACUAUUCACUUAGAAUGGGUAAGCAAUGAAGUCCUGCUGUAUAGCACAGGGAACUAUAUCCAGUCUCUUGGGCUAGACCAUGAUGGAGAAUAACAGAAGAAACGGAAUGAAUGUGUAUGUGUGGCUGUACAGCAGAAAUUGGCACAACACUGUAAAUCAACCAUAAUUUUUAAAAACUCUGCAAAAUAAUCAGGAUCCAAAGCUAUUUUUUGCAAUAUUUAUCACCUAUUGAUGGUAAAUUAUUAAAAUUCCUAUGGGUCAUAUUAUUUAAUUUGGAGUUAAUUAAAAUGAAACUGUAUAAAUAGAAUGUUGUAUAAAUGCAUGUGCUAAGUGUUGAUAUGGCUAAGGCGUUGUAAUGCAUGCUGGUUCAGAUAAAAUAAAGGAUCCUUCUUCCUAAUCUGUGUAUACACUCAUCCACGCAUAAGCGUGUGUAUAAUGUGGGUUAUGUAUUUAACAUGCACAUAGUUCAAAGGAAUGAACAUUUAGUUAAAAUUAUAAAACUUAACUCCUAAUUCUGGGUAUUCCCAUAAAUAACUAAAUGAAUUUGUUCACAUCAUUUAAUUUUUUUGAGUCUCAGUUUCCUCAUCAGUAAAAUGAUAUAAAAAUAUCUGCCUUUUAUCUUUUAUAUGUCAUCAUAAAAAUCAAAUUGGGAGUUCCCACUGUGGCUCAGUGGGUUAUGAACCCGACUAGUAUCCAUGAGUAUGUGGAUUUGAUCCCUGGCCUUGCUCAGUGGAUUAAGGAUCCGGCAUUGCUGUUAGCUGUGGUGCAGAUUGCAAACUUGGCUUGGAUCUGGUGUUGCUGUGGCUCUGGUGCAGGUCAGCAACUGCAGGUCUGAUUUGACCCCUAGCCCGGGAACUUCCAUAUGCCACAGGUGUGGCCCUAAAAAAAAUAAAAUAAAAAAAUAAAACUGAGGAGUUCCCUGGUGGCCAAGCAGUUAAGGAUCUGACAUUGUCACUGCUGUGGCUCAGGUCACUGCUGUGGUGUGAGUUCAAUCCCUAGCCCCAGAACUUCUGCAUGCUGUGGCCGUGGACAAAAAAUCAAAUUAAGAAGCAGAUAUGAGCAAGAUUUCAUAAGUAGAGAGGGUUCUUCAAACACAACCUUUCAUUAUAAAACAUGGCAGAAUUUUGCGAUAAACUCAAUUUAGUUAACAAUUUUUGAAUGACUAAAUAAACUUUUAAACAUAUGAUUAGUAGAAAAGUAAGGGCAUGUUACAGAUGCCCAUAGGUCACUCUCCAAAUGUCUACAGGUGCUCCUGAGCAAUUUAUCCUCUUCUAAUUAAGCUUGUUUUGCUUCAAUAUAUGAACAACCAAGAAAAAUGAUAAUUUAUCAUGGCACUUUGUUCUCCGUUAUGUUUAAUUAUAUUAACAUUAACUAUGUUUAAUUAUGACUUAUUAACACUAAUUUUAAAAGCUUAUUCUGUCCUGAGAAUAAACUAAGAGAAUAGGAAAAACAUAACCUCCUUGCCGGAGGGGAACAUUUCUCCCAUUGACACGUUACUUGAGAUCAUACUAUUUAAUAACAGCUCCAGUGCUGUUACUAGUACAGUCGCUGAAAUGAUUCCACCAGCUCCACAGCACUGUAAAUAUAAUAGUUCUUUUGGUUUUUUCAACCCGUGGCAUAUGGAAGUUCCCAGGCUAGGUGUUGACUCGGAGCCAUAGCUGCCAGCCUGCACUGCAGCCACAGCAACGCAGGAAGCGUCAGCAACCUACUCCUACACCACAGCUCACAGCAAUGCCAGAUCCCUAACCCACUGAGCGAGGGCAGGGAUUGAACCCACAUCCUCAUGGAUACCAGUCAAAUUCAUUUCCGCUGGGCCAUGACAAGAACCCCCUAUUUGUUUUUUGACGCAGCUCAAAUUGACACAGAUUCAGCUACUUGUGGGCUAAACAGUGUUUGUGAUGGGUUACAUUAUCGACCUUUUAAUACUCUUGUCUCUACGGGAGGAUAUGUUUCAGGUUCCCUUAAUUUUAUUUAUAAGUGAACUUUGGAAACAUAUCCAUUUGUAAUAUGCCUAUACCCUCAUGUAACAAUAUUGCUCUAUCUUUUAUUAAAAAUGCAUUGCAUUUAACUACAUAUGAUAUGAUAAUAAUUAAAAAACAAAGAAUGCUUUUCUAGUAUUUCCUUUUCCUAUUUAGAAGCAUCUAGGUCAUUCUCUGCUCUGUGCUUCAGAAGAAGGCUGAGGACAAAAAAAAAAAGAUAGAUUCAAGAAGGUAUUUCCUGGCAUUUGGGGAUCAGCCGCUCAGGCCUGAAUAGAGGAGUGGAUGGGGAGGAAGUGAAAUGGACUCCGUUCAAAGACAAUAAAGCUGAUUCAGGGCAGCACCUGAUGUUGCAAGAGCCAUGCUUCCUGGUUCCUUCUUACCUCCAGACCGGAUAACAACCUCCUGGGCCCAGACUGGAAGAGGUGUCGGAAAGGAGAUUAGAGGUGAGUAGAUGCUGAUGAUGGUGGGUGUCAAGGCCCUGCCCCUCUGCUUUCAGUGCACCCUGGAGACCCGGUAGGAAAGGGAGGCAGCAGCCAUCAUGAUAGGCUUGGGCUCUGAAGACAUCCUUACAGAUCUUCCCUCAGCAAGGGCCAGCAUCAUAGACGAGUGCCUCAGAGCUGGUGCUGGACCCCUACUGACGGGAAAAGGACUCAGCAAAGAGCAGCAGGCACGAUGACCAGAGGCCAGAGGGAGCAAGGACAAUGUAGCAGAUGCCGUGUUGACAGAUGACAGCCAGAAAUCCACAGCUGCCACACAUCCUCCUGUGCCUCAUGUGGCUCCGGGAACCUAGGUGGGAGCCUGCAUAAAUGAGUGGGCAGAAAAUCCAAACUGAGUGGGCGAAAGGAGAGCUGGGAAUAUUUUCCUGCAAACAUUAGGAAUUAAAUGGACAUUAGCAAGCAAGGCGGUCUUCAUAAACAUUCUAACACCCCUCUUAAGAAAGAAUAUUUUGGUUAUAAACCACAGUCUUAGGAAUAAUUUAUUUUGCAUUAAAAUACAUGUUUAAACUUAGGGAUUGUAUUGAUUUUUUGUAUAAAUCUCUUGAGUAGAAAGUAAAUUAUAGAAUAUUAUGUACAUUUUGAUAUCUAAAUAAAAAGAAUAGGAAACAAUAUGUUAUUUUUCAUACAAAACCAUAAAAAUACAGUAAGAAUUUACACCAAAUUUAUUGGAGAAGUUCCUUUGGGGAGGAAGCAAGUGAGACAGGGGUUUCAAGUAUAGCUAUAAUGUUUGUUUUUAGGAAAAAUAGUUAAAACAUAUUAAAAUAUGUAAAACUCACUCUUAUUCUUCCUCGCUUUCAGAAUAAGCCUUUAGUAAAAAUGCCAGUGUUAUCAUCUACUAGUUUCUUUUUCCCUCAGUGGCAGUUGAUAUUGAUGACGACAGGGAAGUUCAAGUAUCUACAGAAAUGUGUUGAUGGAGUCCCUGGUGGCUCAGUGGAUUAGGAAUCUCAUGUUAUCACUGUGUAGUUCAGGCUGCUGCUGUGACAGGGUUUGAUCCCUGGCCUGAGAACUGCAUGCCAUGGAUGUGGCCAAAAAAAAAAAAAAAAAAA